Sycon ciliatum is the source of this 180-nucleotide long non-coding RNA. RefSeq lists it as uncharacterized. Lineage: Eukaryota; Metazoa; Porifera; Calcarea; Leucosolenida; Sycettidae. The transcript is spliced from 3 exons. The record is from RefSeq and is a predicted model, not a curated record.
AUAUUUUGCUUUUAAUGAAUUUGUUAACCUACCCGCCGGGCUGUUCGACGCUACAACCAGAUUAGUGACAUUGGAUUUGUGGUAUAAUGAACUUGUUCACCUACCUGCCGGGCUGUUUGACGCGACAACCGAAUUGAAAUACCUAGAUUUGGACGCUAAUCAUCUUGUUCACCUACCUGC